This 484-nucleotide ribosomal RNA is filed under the name uncultured bacterium. RNAcentral's name for it is "partial 16S ribosomal RNA". It matches the Rfam family "Bacterial small subunit ribosomal RNA", at positions 30 to 507 of the family's 1533-position model. The record is from RNAcentral.
AUUGAACGCUGGCGGCAGGCCUAACACAUGCAAGUCGAGCGGAUGAAGGGAGCUUGCUCCUGGAUUCAGCGGCGGACGGGUGAGUAAUGCCUAGGAAUCUGCCUUGUAGUGGGGGAUAACGUCCGGAAACGGGCGCUAAUACCGCAUCCGUCCUGAGGGAGAAAGUGGGGGAUCUUCGGACCUCCCGCUAUCAGAUGAGCCUAGGUCGGAUUAGCUAGUUGUUGGGGUAAAGGCCUACCAAGGCGACGAUCCGUAACUGGUCUGAGAGGAUGAUCAGUCAAACUGGAACUGGAACACGGUCCAGACUCCAACGGGAGGAAGCAGAGGGGAACAUUGGACAAUGGGCGAAGGCCUAAUCCAGCCAUGCCGCGUGUGUGAAGAAGGUCUUCGGAUGGUAAAGCACUUUAAGUGGGGAGGAAGGGCAGUAGGUUAAUACCUUGCUGUUUUGACGGUACCAACAGAAUAAGCACCGGCUAACUUCGUG